Molecule: transfer RNA, 75 nt
Filed under: Spirochaetota bacterium
Lineage: Bacteria; Pseudomonadati; Spirochaetota
Description: tRNA-Asn
Rfam family: tRNA
About the family: Transfer RNA (tRNA) molecules are approximately 80 nucleotides in length.
Source: RNAcentral
UCCUCGGUAGCUCAGUGGUAGAGCAAACGCCUGUUAAGCGUUAGGUCGUUGGUUCGAAUCCAACCUGGGGAGCCA